GAUGAACGCUGGCGGUGUGCCUAAGGUAUGCAAGUCGAACGGUCCUUAUGAUUAUCAUUUGGACAGUGGCAGACUGGUGAGUAACGCGUGGAUAAUCUGCCCCGAAGAUGAGGAUAGCUCGCCGAAAGGUGAGGUAAUCCUCAAUGGUGUGGGAAGUACAUAUGUACAUCCCACUAAAGCUUUAGCGCUUCGGGAUGAGUCUGCGUCCUAUCAGCUUGUUGGUAGAGUAAAGGUCUACCAAGGCUAAGACGGGUAACUGGUCUGAGAGGAUGGUCAGUCACAGUGGCACUGAAACACGGGCCACACUCCUACGGGAGGCAGCAAUUAGGAAUCUUGCACAAUGGAGGAAACUCUGAUGCAGCGACACCGCGUGAAGGAUGAAGACCCUCGGGUUGUAAACUUCUUUUAUAAUCUAACAAGUUCUGAGUGGAGUAUGAAUAAGCACCUGCUAACUGCGUGCCAGAAGCAUCGGUGAAGCGUGGGGUGCGAGCGUUAUCCGGAUUUAUUGGGCGUAAAGAGAUGCGUAGGCGUUUUGGUAAGUCUUCUGUCAAAGCCUUCGGCCUAACCGAAGAAAGGCAGAGGAUACUAUCAGAAUUGAGACAGAGAGGGGGAAGUGGAAUUCCCGGUGGAGCGGUGAAAUGCGUUGAUAUCGGGAGGAACACCAGUGGCGAAGGCAACUUCCUGGCUCUGUUCUGACGCUGAGGCUCGAAAGCGUGGAGAGCAAAGCGGAUUAGAUACCCGUGUAGUCCAUGCUGUAAACGUUGGAUACUGGACGUUUGGUUC
RNAcentral lists this ribosomal RNA (783 nucleotides) under uncultured organism. RNAcentral describes it as "bacterial SSU rRNA". It matches the Rfam family "Bacterial small subunit ribosomal RNA", at positions 28 to 830 of the family's 1533-position model. The record is from RNAcentral.